RNAcentral lists this ribosomal RNA (513 nucleotides) under uncultured bacterium. RNAcentral describes it as "partial 16S ribosomal RNA". It matches the Rfam family "Bacterial small subunit ribosomal RNA", at positions 28 to 523 of the family's 1533-position model. The record is from RNAcentral.
GAUGAACGCUGGCGGCGUGCCUAAUACAUGCAAGUCGAGCGGACCAAAGAGAGCUUGCUCUCUGAGGUUAGCGGCGGACGGGUGAGUAACACGUGGGUAACCUGCCUGUAAGACGGGGAUAACUUCGGGGAACCGAAGCUAAUACAGGAUGAUAAAGAGAAACGCCUGUUUCUUUUUUUAAAGUCGGCCUUGUGCUGUCGCUUACAGAUGGGCCCGCGGCGCAUUAGCUAGUUGGUGAGGUAACGGCUCACCAAGGCGACGAGGCGUAGCCGACCUGAGAGGGUGAUCGGCCACACUGGGACUGAGACACGGCCCAGACUCCUACGGGAGGCAGCAGUAGGGAAUCUUCGGCAAUGGACGAAAGUCUGACCGAGCAACGCCGCGUGAGCGAUGAAGGCCUUCGGGUCGUAAAGCUCUGUUGUCAGAGAAGAACAAGUACCGGAGUAACUGCCGGUACCUUGACGGUACCUGACCAGAAAGCCACGGCUAACUACGUGCCAGCCGCCGCGGUAA